UACGAAGGGUGCAAGCGUUACUCGGAAUCACUGGGCGUAAAGCGCGCGUAGGCGGUUUCUUAAGUCUGUCGUGAAAGCCCUGGGCUCAACCUGGGAACGGCGAUGGAUACUGGGAAGCUAGAAUGUGAGAGAGGAUGGUGGAAUUCCCGGUGUAGCGGUGAAAUGCGUAGAUAUCUGGAGGAACACCGGUGGCGAAGGCGGCAUCCUGGACCAAUAUUGACGCUGAGGAGCGAAAGCCAGGGGAGCAAACGGG
Molecule: ribosomal RNA, 253 nt
Filed under: uncultured bacterium
Lineage: Bacteria
Description: partial 16S ribosomal RNA
Rfam family: Bacterial small subunit ribosomal RNA
Source: RNAcentral